Molecule: long non-coding RNA, 2748 nt
Filed under: Canis lupus familiaris (dog)
Lineage: Eukaryota; Metazoa; Chordata; Mammalia; Carnivora; Canidae
Description: lncRNA (ENSCAFG00040008072.1)
Source: RNAcentral
GGCCCCCUUGCAGAUGGAGGGCUCACGGGCCAGGUUCUCAUUCCUGGAGGACACCAGAGGCUCCAGGACUGCGUGGGUGGUGGGGAAGGUGCUCCCCCGACCUCAGGCACUUCCCGGGGCGGUCGUGCAACCCAGAGGCAGGUGGGGGUGGUGGAGGUGGCAGGGGAGGUGGUGGCUGCAGGGCCCAGCAGCCCCUCCUCACCCCUCCAGGGCCUCGGGCCCAGGCUGGUGCUGCCCCCCGCAGCUCUGCUUCGGACACAAGAUGCCCCGCGGGCUCCCUGCCGCCGCCCAGGCCCCAGCUUGGAUGUGCUUCCUCCCAUCUGGCCGCUGGGAGAUGUUGCCUAUUGGCCUCCGGCCCAUUGCGGGCCUGUGGACACCGGGCCGUGCCCCUUGCCCCCACGCAGCCAACCCAGGCCAGAUGUGCUAGUUCCUUCCCAGCUCAGAGCUGUCCCUGUCCCGACCUGCCCAGGGCCGCCCGCCAGCCUGCCCGCCCCCACCCGACCUGGGCCCUGGGGCACCUCGGGGAGCUCCUUCUGGCUUCCACAGCCUGCUCCCCCACCUGGUCACCCCGGCUUGGCUCCCUCUGACCACCCCCAGCACGGGGCCUACGGGGACCGUCCACUGGUCCGGGUACACGUGCAUUUACUGCGUGCGGGGUACACGGUGCGGGAGGCCUGGGGGCAUGAGGCUCCCUGGGCAGCGGGGCUAAUGAGCGUGUGGCCCGCGACCUGCUGCUCUCCCGCCGGGACAGGACCUCUGGGGCCUCAGAGGACGUCCCCAGCGCGCGGACAGCCAGCCUCGGCCCUGAGCGGGGGUGCUGGUGUGCAGCCCUUGCUCCCCGCCGCGGGCAGCGCCUGCAGACCCCGAAGGGCUGGGGGCGAGUGGCUCCUGCUCCGAGAGCCACACGCUCCUGUCACCACUUGCCACUGCGCCACAGCCGGAAGUCAGCGGCGAGCGCCAAGGCCCCCGCGUCUCUGCGCCAAUAAAACUUGGUUCAGGUUCACGGGAUCCGCAUCCCACGCGGUGCUCACGCUCCAGGAAGCAGUCUUCUCUGUGGAUUCUCUUCAACCUUCUAAAGCCGUGGAGACGCUCUUCCUGUCUCGGGGGCAGUGCUUGUCUGACUGUGUAUCCGGCAAUUCUGGCCGCACGGAUGAACUGGGGAGAGGUCACUCUUCUCAUUCUUCAAACCUCACAUCCUCGGGGAAGCCCGAUCGGCAGGCCCUCCAUACGGAGGCCUCUGCAGAACUGGCCACCCCACCUGCCCACCUUUAGCUUUGGGGCUCCUCCAGGAAAGCGUCGGUCCUGAGGCAUCUAGGCAAGUGGACGAGCUUUUGCAUGAACAGGGGAGCAAACACACACCUGAUUACAGACAGGGAUGCGGCCCAGCCCGAACUGGAACUGGAGUGUGAUACUGGGCUCUGGGUCCAGUCCAGUAAGUCUGGGAGGCCGUGCUCUGGGCAAGGCCUUGGUUGUUGGGUCACCCUGAGCAGGGACUGGUGACAGGGACACUACCAGCAGAGGACAGGGAGGAGGAGGCGCGUGAUGCUCACACGCCGAGGCAGGGGUGCCUCAUUUGUAAUGGGGGGGGCAGGAAGUGGGGCUGUAGCAGAUGUAGGGGAGCCUCUGAGCCGUAGUGGUUCUGGCCGGCCCUGGGAAGGGUCUCUGGGGUCAUGGGACCCAUGCACACAGGAUGCCAGGCUUCUCAGUUCUUCCAGAAACCAUGACAGGACUUCUGAGGAUAUUUGGGGCCGCUCUAGGGACAACAUCCCUCUUCGUUGAAGCCAACAGAGAACACUUCAUGAGCAGAUGUGUUCAGGGCCAUGUUUCGUGCCCUACGUGGUUUUCCCUCUGUCGUAGGAAUAAUUCUAAUUCUGCAUGAGGUGUAUGUCCAUAAAACCCUGCCUCUGUCAAAUGGGCUUAAUUUUUCCUUCAUUUGGCAGCUGAUGGAGUGGAGUGCAGAGGGUCUGGAUGUCAGACCCCGUCGGCGGUCAGAGCAGGAACCUGGGGACUGGCUGUAAACAGAACAUUCUGGGUCUGGGUUGUACAAGAGGUUCAGAGAAAUGCAGCUCUGGAGUUCCCAGCCUUUGGCUCCGAGUGGCGAUUCCUGGGGUCCAGCCGACCUCCGUGGGAUGCCCCAUUGCAUCCCCGACCGGGAGCCCACAGAGCCAAGCGGUCGCUGCCCACUCUAUGUGGCAGCUGCAGGGGGGUCAUCUCCGAGGCCCCCCAGUGCUGCCCUUCCUCAGUCCCUGCGGCAUAGGAGACACGGCCCUGUGCCCCCCCAGGACGAUGACAGGGUGGAUAUGGUGAAGUCAUUUACUGUCAUCCCCAGUGGGCGCUGAGCCAUGCCUGGGCUUGGAGGGCUGAUCAGCACACCUCUCACUCUCGGGAGUGCGGACACUGCUCCAACGUGGGGACAGUUUCCCAAGAGAUGAGAAGGGGGGGCAGACACCUGGGUGGCUCAGUCGGCCAAGCAUCCAACUUUUGCUCUCAGCUCAGGUCUUGAUCUCAGGGUCGUGAGUUCGAGCUCUGAGUUGGGCUCUGGGCUCAUUGGUUAGUCUCCUGGGGAUUCUCUCUCUCCCUCUGUCCACCCCUCCCACCUGCACUUGCACUCAAUCUCUCAAAUAAUAAAUAAAUAAAUAAAUAAAUAAAUAAAUAAAUAAAUAAAUCUUUUUUUAAAAAAAAGGUGAGAAAGGGAAUAUUAGCAAGGAAUGUUUCCUGAGCCCCAGUAGCAGUAGUAAGGGCCAUUCC